This 546-nucleotide non-coding RNA is filed under the name Candidatus Desantisbacteria bacterium CG1_02_49_89. RNAcentral's name for it is "bacterial LSU rRNA". It matches the Rfam family "Bacterial large subunit ribosomal RNA", at positions 2416 to 2925 of the family's 2925-position model. The record is from RNAcentral. Lineage: Bacteria; Candidatus Desantisiibacteriota.
UGAUCCGGCGGUUCCGUAUGGAAGGGCCGUCGCUCAACGGAUAAAAGCUACCCCGGGGAUAACAGGCUGAUCUGGUCCAAGAGUCCACAUCGACGACCAGGUUUGGCACCUCGAUGUCGGCUCAUCGCAUCCUGGGGCUGAAGUAGGUCCCAAGGGUUGGGCUGUUCGCCCAUUAAAGCGGUACGCGAGCUGGGUUCAAUACGUCGUGAGACAGUAUGGUCCUAAUCCGUCGUGGGCGUAAGGAUAUUUGAGAGGAGCUGCUCCUAGUACGAGAGGGCCGGAGUGGACAAACCUCUGAUGUACCAGUUGUGGCACCAGCCGCAUUAGCUGGGUAGUCAAGUUUGGAAGGGAUAAAUACUGAAAGCAUAUAAGUAUGAAGCCCCCCUCAAGAUUAGAUAUCCAAUCCUGAAGGUUUUCAGUGCCCUUUGGGGUAUUGAUUUCUGGAGGGAGUAAGACCUCUCCGAGAAGAGGAGGUUGAUAGGCCAGGGGUGUAAGGCCCAUAAGGGUUUUAGCUGACUGGUACUAAUAGGUCGAGGGCUUAACCAC